This 497-nucleotide ribosomal RNA is filed under the name uncultured bacterium. RNAcentral's name for it is "partial 16S ribosomal RNA". It matches the Rfam family "Bacterial small subunit ribosomal RNA", at positions 28 to 507 of the family's 1533-position model. The record is from RNAcentral.
GAUGAACGCUGGCGGCGUGCCUAAUACAUGCAAGUCGAGCGAACGGACGAGAAGCUUGCUUCUCUGAUGUUAGCGGCGGACGGGUGAGUAACACGUGGAUAACCUACCUAUAAGACUGGGAUAACUUCGGGAAACCGGAGCUAAUACCGGAUGAUAUUUUGAACCGCAUGGUUCAAAAGUGAAAGACGGUCUUGCUGUCACUUAUAGAUGGAUCCGCGCUGCAUUAGCUAGUUGGUAAGGUAACGGCUUACCAAGGCAACGAUGCAUAGCCGACCUGAGAGGGUGGUCGGCCACACUGGAAGUGAGACACGGUCCAGACUCCUGCGGGAGGCAGCAGUAGGGAAUCUUCCGCAAUGGACGAGAGCCUGACGGAGCAACGCCGCGUGAGUGAUGAAGGUCUUCGGAUCGUAAAGCUCUGUUAUUAGGGGAGAACAUAUGUGUAAGUAACUGUGCACAUCUUGACGGUACCUAAUCAGAAAGCCACGGCUAACUACGUG